RNAcentral lists this long non-coding RNA (277 nucleotides) under Panax ginseng (ginseng). RNAcentral describes it as "long non-coding RNA (PGIN_LNC016541)". Lineage: Eukaryota; Viridiplantae; Streptophyta; Magnoliopsida; Apiales; Araliaceae. The record is from RNAcentral.
GGCCAGAUACAGGAAAAGGAUAAUGCCAAGUUCAGCUUGGGAUAGAAUGUGAAGUUAAGUUGUAAAGUAUGUUGAAGAAUAGUAUUGUCAUGUGUUAGACAGUUCACGAUUGUGUAUUAGUUAAGGUUACUCGAUUUUGGGAAUAAUGUGUAAAGUUUAAUGUAUAAACAAUCUAUGUUUAUAUCUUCCGCAAACAGUUGUAGAAUGAUUGAACCGGAUCCGCGGCGAUUCAGGACCCAGAUCUGGGGAUGCUACAAAAAUUAUAACAAACGCCUCA